GGCAGAUCGAUACCGAACUCGAUGUCUCGAUCGCCCGCCGCGGGCACCAGUUCCGCAUCCAGGGUGCACAGGACAACGCGCAGGCAGCGCUUGCGGUGCUCGAGCAUUUCCUCGAGCGCGCGCGACGGACGCGCCGCCCGGUGUCCGUCGACGACAUCCAGCUUUACUUCGUCGAAUUGCGUGGCAGGCGUGGCGCGCUGCCCGGCGAGCCGGGCGAACGGCUGCCACAGCUGCAGACCCGUCGCACCGACCUGCACGGACGAACGCCGCGCCAGCGCGAGUACAUCGAAGCGAUGCUCGCGCAUGACAUUACGAUCGGCAUCGGACCGGCCGGAACCGGCAAGACCUAUCUCGCGGUCGCGGCCGCGGUCGACGCACUCGAGCGCGAGAUCGCCAAACGCAUCGUUCUGACGCGGCCUGCGGUGGAGGCGGGCGAAAGGCUCGGCUUCCUGCCGGGAGACUUGGCACAGAAGGUCGAUCCCUACCUGCGGCCGCUGUACGACGCGCUGUUUGACCUGCUCGGCUUCGACAAGACACAGCGGCUGCUCGAGCGGCAGACGAUCGAGAUCGCGCCGCUCGCCUACAUGCGCGGCCGCACGCUGAACCAGGCGUUCGUGAUCCUCGACGAGGCACAGAACACGACGCGCGAGCAGAUGAAGAUGUUUCUGACCCGGAUCGGCUUCGGCUCGAAAGCCGUCGUCACCGGGGACGUCACCCAGAUCGACCUGCCGCGCGGGACGACGAGCGGGUUGAUCGAAGCGCAGCAUGUGCUCGCGGAAGUGCGCGGCAUCGCCUUCACAUAUUUCACUGCGGCCGACGUCGUGCGGCAUCCGCUCGUCGGUCGCAUCGUCGAGGCUUAUGAAGCGGCGGAGGAGCGCCUGGAAGCCACAGGCCGCGACCGGCCCGCGGUCGAGAUCGCCCGUCGCCGCCGAUCCGGCUGAUGCCAGUGCUGGCGCUUGCAUUGCAGGGGCACU
RNAcentral lists this unclassified non-coding RNA (974 nucleotides) under uncultured fungus. RNAcentral's name for it is "sequence contains 18S rRNA gene, ITS1, 5.8S rRNA gene, ITS2, 28S rRNA gene". Lineage: Eukaryota; Fungi. The record is from RNAcentral.